RNAcentral lists this long non-coding RNA (508 nucleotides) under Androctonus crassicauda. The record is from RNAcentral. Lineage: Eukaryota; Metazoa; Arthropoda; Arachnida; Scorpiones; Buthidae.
UUUUAAUUUAAUUUGUUUUUUGUACUGUGAUUGAUGUUGAGUAGAUAGAAUCAGCUGUCAAGAAAUCAGGACCUAAUUUGUAUGUCAGAAUGAAACUAUGGUAUUCAAGUUUUUCUACCACAUUCUGGAAAAUUAUUUCACCUACAAGAAAUCAAAAGAAAGAUGAUGUGUCUGAUUCAUCAAGAAAAGUUAGUACAAAAAGAGUAAGAUUUUCAGAGCAGCUUGAAGAAGAAAUUGUUGGGCCUUUGUUAAAAUUGAAAAUGGAACACCUUACAGAAAUGAAAGUCAGUGAAAUGCAAAUGUUUAUUAGAGUAGAGCCUGCUGAUAAAAUAGCUUUCUGUGUUUGCCAAAUAUAGUUAUUUUGAAUGUUUUUGAAAAACAUGAUGCUAUGAACUAUAGGGAAAAAUUAAAAUAUUGUGUAUGUAUGAAACCUAUUAAAUUGUAAUAUUAACACUAUAAUAACUUUUAAUGUUUUGAUAUUAAUUAUAAUAUUAUGACUGGUCCUUAU